RNAcentral lists this ribosomal RNA (253 nucleotides) under uncultured bacterium. RNAcentral's name for it is "partial 16S ribosomal RNA". It matches the Rfam family "Bacterial small subunit ribosomal RNA", at positions 524 to 776 of the family's 1533-position model. The record is from RNAcentral.
UACAGAGGGUGCGAGCGUUAAUCGGAAUUACUGGGCGUAAAGCGUGCGUAGACGGUUAUGUAAGUCGGGUGUGAAAGCCCCGGGCUCAACCUGGGAAUUGCAUUCGAGACUGCAUAGCUAGGGUGCGGAAGAGGGAAGCGGAAUUUCCGGUGUAGCGGUGAAAUGCGUAGAUAUCGGAAGGAACACCAGUGGCGAGAGCGGCUUCCUGGUCCAGCACCGACGUUCAGGCACGAAAGCGUGGGGAGCAAACAGG